UACGGAGGGUGCAAGCGUUAAUCGGAAUUACUGGGCGUAAAGCGCACGCAGGUGGCUGAGUCAGUCGAUUGUGAAAGCCCUGGGCUUAACCUGGGAAUUGCAGUCGAUACUACUCAGCUAGAGUAUGGGAGAGGGUAGUGGAAUUCCCGGUGUAGCGGUGAAAUGCGUAGAUAUCAUCAGGAACACCGGUGGCGAAAGCGGCUUACUGGGUCUCUUCUGACGCUGAGGAACGAAAGCUAGGGUAGCGAACGGG
Molecule: ribosomal RNA, 253 nt
Filed under: uncultured bacterium
Lineage: Bacteria
Description: partial 16S ribosomal RNA
Rfam family: Bacterial small subunit ribosomal RNA
Source: RNAcentral